CAUAUCAAUAAGCGGAGGAAAAGAAACCAACAGGGAUUGCCUCAGUAACGGCGAGUGAAGCGGCAACAGCUCAAAUUUGAAAUCUGGCCUCACGGUCCGAGUUGUAAUUUGUAGAGGAUGUUUCGGGCACCGCCGCGGUGUAAAUUUCUUGGAACAGAAUGUCAGAGAGGGUGAGAAUCCCGUCUUCGACCGCGGUAGGACCCAUGUGAAACUCCUUCGACGAGUCGAGUUGUUUGGGAAUGCAGCUCAAAAUGGGUGGUAAAUUUCAUCUAAAGCUAAAUAUUGGCCAGAGACCGAUAGCGCACAAGUAGAGUGAUCGAAAGAUGAAAAGCACUUUGAAAAGAGAGUUAAACAGUAUGUGAAAUUGUUGAAAGGGAAGCGCUGGCAACCAGACUCGAGCGCGGUGGUUCCCCCCGGCUUCUGCCGGGGUUAUUCCACCGUGACCGGGCCAUCAUCAGUUUUGGGGGUCGGUCAAAGGCGCCGGGAAUGUACCCACUCCUUCGGGGGUGGACUUAUAGCCCGGCGUGUCAUGCGACCUCCCGGGACUGAGGAACGCGCUUCGGCGAGGAUGAUGGCGUAAUGGUUGUCAGCGACCCGUCUUGAAACACGGACCAAGGAGUCUAACAUCUAUGCGAGUGUUCGGGUGUCAAACCCUUGCGCGUAAUGAAAGUGAACGGAGGUAGGAAGGCUUGAGCCUGCACUAUCGACCGAUCCUGAUGUCUUCGGAUGGAUUUGAGUAAGAGCAUAGCUGUUGGGACCCGAAAGAUGGUGAACUAUGCGUGAAUAGGGUGAAGCCAGAGGAAACUCUGGUGGAGGCUCGCAGCGGUUCUGACGUGCAAAUCGAUCGUCAAAUUUGCGUAUAGGGGCGAAAGACUAAUCGAACCAUCUGGUAGCUGGUUCCUGCCGA
RNAcentral lists this ribosomal RNA (907 nucleotides) under Neophaeococcomyces aloes. RNAcentral describes it as "eukaryotic LSU rRNA". It matches the Rfam family "Eukaryotic large subunit ribosomal RNA", at positions 39 to 964 of the family's 3401-position model. The record is from RNAcentral. Lineage: Eukaryota; Fungi; Ascomycota; Eurotiomycetes; Chaetothyriales.